GACGAACGCUGGCGGCGUGCUUAACACAUGCAAGUCGAACGGAAAGGCCCUGAUUUUGUGGGGUGCUCGAGUGGCGAACGGGUGAGUAACACGUGUGUAACCUGUACUUGAAUGUGGGAUAACUUCAGGAAACUGGGGCUAAUACCGGAUAGGAGAUCCUGCUGCAUGGGGGGGGUUGGAAAGUUUCGGCGGUUGGGGAUGGACUCGAGGCUUAUCGGCUUGUUGGUGGGGUAGUGGCUUACCAAGGCUUUGACGGGUAGCCGGCAUGAGAGGGUGACCGGCCACAUUGGUACUGAGAUACGGCCCAGACGCCUACGUGCGGCAGCAGUCGGGAAUAUUACACAAUGGGCGGAAGCCUGAUGCAGCAACGCCGCGUGCGGGAUGACCUCCUUCGGGUUGUAAACCGCUUUCGCCUGUGACGAAGCGUGAGUGACGGUAAUGGGUAAAGAAGCACCGGCUAACUACGUG
This 468-nucleotide ribosomal RNA is filed under the name uncultured bacterium. Its description in RNAcentral is "partial 16S ribosomal RNA". It matches the Rfam family "Bacterial small subunit ribosomal RNA", at positions 28 to 507 of the family's 1533-position model. The record is from RNAcentral.